RNAcentral lists this ribosomal RNA (478 nucleotides) under uncultured bacterium. RNAcentral's name for it is "partial 16S ribosomal RNA". It matches the Rfam family "Bacterial small subunit ribosomal RNA", at positions 28 to 523 of the family's 1533-position model. The record is from RNAcentral.
GACGAACGCUGGCGGCGCGCUUAACACAUGCAAGUCGAACGGUAAGGCCCUUCGGGGUACACGAGUGGCGAACGGGUGAGUAACACGUGGGUGAUCUGCCCUGCACUUCGGGAUAAGCCUGGGAAACUGGGUCUAAUACCGGAUAGGACCACUGCCUGCAUGGGUGGUGGUGGAAAGCUUUUGCGGUGUGGGAUGGGCCCGCGGCCUAUCAGCUUGUUGGUGGGGUGAUGGCCUACCAAGGCGACGACGGGUAGCCGGCCUGAGAGGGUGACCGGCCACACUGGGACUGAGGUAAGGCCCAGACUCCUACGGGAGGCAGCAGUGGGGAAUAUUGCACAAUGGGCGCAAGCCUGAUGCAGCGACGCCGCGUGAGGGAUGACGGCCUUCGGGUUGUAAACCUCUUUCAGCACCGACGAAGCGCAAGUGACGGUAGGUGCAGAAGAAGGACCGGCCAACUACGUGCCAGCCGCCGCGGUAA